CUGCACUCUGAGAAUUAGAAAUGUGACGAAGAAUGACUCUGGAGAAUAUUGGUAUCGAUUUCUUAAUAAUGAAGGAAGGGGUUUCUCUGGUACUCCUGGAGUUAUUCUAAAUGUAACAGGUACUUCUCCAUAAUAUCAAAUGUAUUUUUUGCUUCUGUAUCUGACAGAAGCACAUAAUUGUCCUCUAUGUUAAUGUUCAGAUCUUCAGGUGAAAAUGAGUCCCAGCUCUCCAUCAGAAGGACAGACAGUAACACUGACCUGUAGCUCCACCUGCACUCUGCCCAACAACCCCACCUACAUCUGGUACAAGAACGGACAGCCUGUAACCAACAAACCCACCAGAUACAACAAGCUCUACCUGGAGUCAACAAGCCCUGAGCACGUUCUCCAGUAUUCCUGUGCUCUAGGAGAUUCUCCUAAAGGUGCAGAGGGGAGCACAAUGUUAAGACUGAUCACAGUGGCAGUGGCUGUGUUUCUGCUCCUAAUCCUCAUUGCAGGAGGGAUAUGUUUAAGGAGGAGGAAGUCCAACCCAGGACAGGAUAGCAAGAGAUCUAGAGAGACUGGGCAGGUGAGCAUGUUAAACCUAUUUUUAGAGGACUGUAUACCCAGGUAUUUAAUGAUAAAUAAGCAGAAAGGGGAUACCAGAGGGAUGACUUGGAAAUUCUACAGAAACCACUUGUAAUACCAUAGAAACACAAUAUAUAAAAAACACAUGGGAUUCCACAACAAUAUAUUUGAAUAGCAAACCAUCUAUUUCAG
Molecule: long non-coding RNA, 759 nt
Filed under: Astyanax mexicanus (Mexican tetra)
Lineage: Eukaryota; Metazoa; Chordata; Actinopteri; Characiformes; Acestrorhamphidae
Description: lncRNA (ENSAMXG00005011874.1)
Source: RNAcentral